Molecule: unclassified non-coding RNA, 303 nt
Filed under: Hevea brasiliensis (rubber tree)
Lineage: Eukaryota; Viridiplantae; Streptophyta; Magnoliopsida; Malpighiales; Euphorbiaceae
Source: RNAcentral
GUCAUAUUGCUACAGACAGGGGUAUUUCAUGAACUUCAGCUGGCGUCUCAAAGCUCCAAGAACUAUGUAUCUGCCAUAUAAUUGACUGCUUAUAGUCACAGCAAACAUUUUCAUUAAUAUUGCUUCCUCUUUUUCUUUUUUCCUUUUCAAAUUUUGCUAGAGUUGCUACUAUUUACUAUCUAUCAGAAUUGCACUUGUUUUCAGGCAUUGUUCCAUUCUUGUGAAAUUGUUGUUUUGACAUAGAACCUUAUUGCUUCUUUACCUGCAUGUUUGAUUGCACUAUGAGGUACUUUUUACUUUACA